RNAcentral lists this long non-coding RNA (1214 nucleotides) under Mytilus galloprovincialis (Mediterranean mussel). Lineage: Eukaryota; Metazoa; Mollusca; Bivalvia; Mytilida; Mytilidae. The record is from RNAcentral.
GUUCAGAUGGAUUUUAUUUUGAAGCAGUAAAGUACAAUAUCGUUAUUAAAUAUUAAAAAGAAUAAAAAAUCUAAAUAAUAUUCUUCAUAUAUUGAGAUGCAUAUAGACGAAAUAUUUUAUAUGUGUUCGUAAUAAAGCCUGCUUUAAUUUGUGUGUUCAAUACGAUUCCUUUACAAAUUUAUAAACCCAUUACCAUUAUAAUUCUGACUAGCAUUAAUUUGUAGGAAUUUGUAUUAUUACAAUUUAAUUUAUAAGCAUGUAGCCAGUGUUGAACAAUUUUGUCUGAUAACACAUUAUACAGGUGUACUAAAAGAACUUUAACCCAUUCGAGCAGCACUAUAUUGCAGAAAACAAAACAGAAACAAAAAUUGUAUUCUUAAUAAACAACAAAACAUAUAUUCACUUUCAUUUUAAAAUUAUUUGAAGAAAAAAGUGUUCUAUGUUUUGAAAAAAAAGUAUUUUCUUCCUUUAUUGUGUAUGUUAAAUCAGUGGUCGUCUUUGUAGAUGACCCAAUUUGUCCUGUAAAUGCAUUUAACGAGUUUAUGAAAAGAAGGCCUGUUGAUACAUUGACACCAGAAAGUAUGAUGUAUAUGUCAACACUCCACAAUACUACCACUGACAGCACUCAACCACCUACGAGAUCAUUGUGGGUCAGUAACAACCACAAGGAAAAACAAGGUUGGUGACUUGGCGAAAACUUAAAGAUGGUCUCACAGGCCGAAUAGUUAAACACAGUUACUUCAUAAUCACAUUCUAAAGUUGAAGCCACCUAGAUAAAGCAGUAAUGUUUAAUCGAUAAAAAAUAUAGCUAUGCUUCUCUUGAACAGCAAGAAAAAAAAUUCAAACAUUUUGAGUAACAUCUAUUCUGAUAACCGAUGAUCUAUAACAACUAAACAUUAAAAUGGUUCUAAUCAGCGAGGUACAUCCACUCAAAAAAAAAAAUUAACAAUUUACAUACAUGUAUGAUGAUUUACCAAAUGUAAUGUUGAUGUAAUGGUUGCCUGUAUUGAAAGUUUUGUGGAUAAAUCUGCUAUAAUGGCAACUAGUAACCCUGUACAACUGAUUGCUAUCAAUUAAGCCAUAGAUAUGCCAAAUUCUCGUGUUUGUGUUUUACCAUAUUAAAAACAAAUGGAAAUGUUUUUGAAAUAAAUGGUAAAAAUCAAAUUUGAAACUGUUAUAAAACUUUUGUGAUAUAGUUUUGAGAUCUUUCCGUU